AAGAAUCCGUGAUAGUGAAAAUAAUGCUGUGAAGCAAGGUGAUGUGAUUUAAAUAUGAAUCAGCUCAAAUGUAUUUCUUCUUGCACUCCCUAGCUUCAGCUUGCACUGCUGUACUGGGACGCCACUGGGAUUGCUGGCAGACCUGGUUUUCCACCUUGCCUGGUGCUAGUGUCAAACUCUCUAGACCACUGGCCUUCAAAUGAACUAGAGAUAGUGGUGUAAGUGCAAGGCAGUGAGGGACCAAUACGCUGUGAUCCUGCCUGAAAUGAUCCUUGAGGUUUGAUGAAUACUUGGAGAGAAAAGUGGAAGCCAGAAAGACCUGCACCCUGAUCUGAAAACAGAGACACAAAGGCUAAUGUCAGAUAAAACUUGAAGGAAAAUGUAUAUUGCUUGCAAUUUCAUUUCUUAGUAGGCUUAAAUCAUUCUCUUAACUCAAACAAAUACUAUAUACCAAUCUGUUACUUUUCUCCUCUAUAAUGCUUGUGCCUGGAGUCUUUUAUAACUUAUUCCCUGCUACAGCUUUAAAGAAAUUGAGCAUAUACACCCUCGCUACUAAAUCAGCUCAUCUAUCUGUCACACUCAGUGCAACUUGGAAAUUAUCCGCAGUUCAAGAGAUGCUACACUAGCUUUUCCAAUCACUGCCAUUGCAUCCUUUCGUAUGGAGUGACUUGUUGGGGAAUGAGUCAAGAAUAAGAAAUAUCUCGUCCUUGGGCAUUUAAUGGAAAAAAAAACAGAGAUCAGAAAAUUACUGUGAGCUGCUUUUGUCUGUCCCCUUUGAGCUGAAAAAGCAUCUUGCCAAGGGGAAGAGAAGUCCUGCAGAGCUCAAUCCGCAGAAAUCAUCUCAGAGCAGCUUCCCCUGAUGUUGAGAUCCUUUCCUGGAGAUUUCUAAUGUGCUGCAGUAAGAACCGUUUCCCAAGAGCCUCCAUAGGUCCCCAGGGAUUUUUCAUGGUCCAGUCUUGGUUAAAAUAAAAAGCAUAUUCAGGGGGAAUGACUAAUCCUCUGCCUGAAUGCGACAUGCCUAUUGGAAAGUUUGUGAUGUGGUACACUAACUCUCUGAUUUGUUUGGCCGUGUGUGAAAAGCUUUUAAGCUGGCUCUGGAAAUUCACCCCCGAAGCCUCUUCUGGGGCUUGUAUUUUUAUCUUUUCCCCAUUUCCUCAAAUCUUUCCCUUGUUUCUAAAGAGUGCCAUCGUCCGUUCCUGAGCCCUCAAAUCCAAUUACCAAACAAUGUACAAAUAUAUGGCUGAGCGUGGUCUACGGGAACAGCUGCAAAAUCGCUAAUAUUAGGUCUAAUUUAGCUACAAUAAAUUAGCAAGUGUGUGGAAGCAAAAUGAUGACAGCAUAAUUAUAACAAAAGUCGAUGUGUUGAAGUAUAUGGAUGACAAUACAUACUAAUUUUAGUGAAAAAACGCACCAAAUGAAAUGCAUGCAAUGAACAGACGGGACUAAUAGCUCAGACACAUAUACUUAAUGUGACCAGUCAGUGUAAAAACAAAAAGAUAGAUGAAGCUGUUCAGAACCUAGUGCUAACAAGCAGUGUAGUCUGAAACCAUUAACUGUCAGGGGUAAUAACACUCAAAGUACUGAAGUGCAGUAAAACAGCAGCACUUUUCUCGGGAUGAUGUGCUGAUGUACAAGCACACACCUGUGAAGAGGGUACUAAAUCUAUCCUUGCAUUUAUUACUAUGGAGGGAGGAAAAACAACACUAAUAAUGUAAAGUAUAAACGAAAAUAGCAGACAGCAGAGAGUGACAUUUGCAUGGUCCCAGUCAGCUUGUUAGCUGAAGUGGGUUUUAAUUAGCUAUUUUCCAGCAAGCAAACGAGCAAAUUAGUGGCAGCCAUAAACAAGCAGAGACAAUCAGGCCCAAAGAAAAAAAAAGAAAGAAAAGAUCGGACCUUUUUCGGUGUGUUUUCCUGUCAGAACUACAAUGCCUUCAUGCUUCAGCUAAAUAUUUCUAUUAACCAAAAGAAUGUGGAAAAGUGAAGACCUUGGUAAUGGUGUGAUUUCCCAAAGUGGCUCAAAACAUGAUGUUAAUAGUACCUCAGGGACUAAAAGCCCUGCUCUGAACAAACCUACCCUCUGCAUCAGAGGGUAAAGCUUGGGCCUCCCAUGCAUAGCCUCAGGGGUCUGGUGCACCCUGGCUCUGCCCUCCUGCUGAAGACUGUCCUCUGCUCAUGGGACCACAGGGCUCCAGUGCUGUGGCCUCACUCCUGUUCUGGAUGAGGAAGAGCAGGUGCUUCAGAAAGUGCAGUGCAGGAUAUAGGUGCACUGCUCUCCAUCUUCACCUUCACACUGCAACAGGCAUGAGACAAGCAACGGCCAGUUGAGACCAAACGGGUGCCAAAAGCAACCAGCUACUCUUGCUGCUGAGGAAGGAAGCUAUGGCUCUGCAAAGGCAGCAGGAGACAGAAACCACUGAGGAGGGAAGAGGUGAGCAGCAGAGGACAAUCCCUGGUGCUAAACUACCUUGCUAAGAGAAGACGCUUACUUGUGUAAGGAUAAGGAUGGAGCCCCUGGCAGAUAACAUGGAUUCCAGCAGUAAUGAACAAACCUGCUUUUGGAGCUUCUUUUAUUACCAUAGUACGACUGGCUGCAUAAUGAAACCUGCCCUGCUGUUACUGUAACAUGGAGAUGAAGGUCCUUCACAGCCUGGUCAAGUAAGGCUCAAGGUUAAGCAGUUCACUGUAGUACUUUUGUUACUGAACUGAUUAUAUUAACAAUCAGCCAUAAUGAAAAACAUGGCAAGUUUAUCCCUUGAGUCAGACAUGUUUACCCUCCUGUUCUCUCUGAUUUUAAGAAAUGCUGAUGUUGCAAAGAUAAGAAACCAAAUACAACAGGGCAAAUUACUUCAACUCUUAGGUUUUGUACCUGAAGAAUUUAGGUACAUUCAGCGUAAAAUAGAAGUGUGCAAAGUCAGAGAGCAGUAAACAACUACUAGAGGUAGUUGCUGGGCAGGAGGAUUUGGGGAUCUGAGCACUAAUCUAGACCUGGAGGAACUGAAGUUCAUAUUUCACUCUAUGAGAGACUUCUCCCAUGACCAUGGGUGACACAAGCCGUCUGUCUGGAGAUAGCAGUGCUUCUGCCUUAGGAGUUUGCUGCAAAAUGUUCAUUAAACACUGCGUAGGGCUCUGAUAUCUUGGAGAAGGGGAUAAUUACCUGGAAGGGAAAAUGACUAAUAAAAAUUAAUCUUAUUUAUGCAUCACUAUUGGUACAUGUGGCACUAGCGAAAGACAUUGCAGCAGGCUUUCGGUUGGUAUAAAUUAUCAGGAAGCUGCAGGAGAGACUCUCUUGCAUCCCUGUCCUUGUCUUGUGCCAAGGGUAUUACAGUCUAAUUAAUACAGAUAACAUGAGUGCAGACGCCUACCUGUUGGGCGCAGUUGGAAUACUAACACAAGGGGAGGGCUGGGGGAAGGCUCUUGAAGAAGGUUUAUUUUAUUUAGUUCAUUUGUUUAGUAAUGUUUUGACGGUCAGAAAACCCUGGCAAUGAGUAGAGCCCAAGAGGCAAUUAGUAAUGGGGCAGAAAAUGUAAUGAGCCAAAAAAUGAAUUAACUUGAGCAGACUAGGCACAGACACAAGGGGCCAAUGCUUUUUGCUAGUUUAUAACCCCUGCCCCUCCACUGGAUUCAGAAAAGUAGGAUGAGGUGUGAUUUAACAUAGAAACAGCCUGCAAGACAUUUCCUACCGCACCCCGGGUAGCUCUUUGCCACAAAAAGCACUGCCAAUGCGCCUGCAGGCAGGCAGCCUCUCUCAGCUCUUGCCUAAAGUGAGCCUCUACCUAUAAAGUUUCCUGCCAUUACCACCACUGCUGCAGAGGGUAGAU
Molecule: long non-coding RNA, 3818 nt
Organism: Neopsephotus bourkii (Bourke's parrot)
Lineage: Eukaryota; Metazoa; Chordata; Aves; Psittaciformes; Psittacidae
Exons: 3
Source: RefSeq, a predicted model, not a curated record